Molecule: long non-coding RNA, 1947 nt
Organism: Zingiber officinale
Lineage: Eukaryota; Viridiplantae; Streptophyta; Magnoliopsida; Zingiberales; Zingiberaceae
Exons: 3
Source: RefSeq, a predicted model, not a curated record
UUUUUAUUUUCUUUUGGUUUUCUUUCCUUCAUUGCCUCUAUCGACUCCAUCGCCGCCUCUGCCGCCAACCCUCCAUCUCUACUACCAGGUGAGACAGGUUUGCUCCAGCCGCUAGACACCGACCCUCACUACUACUAGGACUACCCCAGCCGCUAGACUCCUCUCGCAGCCGCUGCUGUCGUCAUCCUUUGUCACUGCUGCUGCCGUCCUUCGUCGAUGCUGUCAUCGUCAUUCGUCGCUGCUACCAGGUGAGACCCGGCACCAGACACAAACCCUCGCCAUGACUACGACUGCCCCAGCCAACAAACACCCCUCAUCGCAAACUAGGUUUUCCUCUCAAACACCAUUGUUCAUCGCUAUUGUCGCCGUCCUAAUUCAUCGAGAGCAACCAACAUACUAGGUUUUCCCCACACUGUCGUUGCUGCCCAACUCUUCAUCCCUGUGAGAUCCGGCAAAUUAACUUCCCAUACCAAUUUCAAUUUCUAUAUGAAGUAAUUUCUCAAAAGUUCUAGAUUUAAUUUUAAUAGUCUAUAGUUUAAAUUUUUAUAAAAUAGGUCUCUAAGUUAUUUCAAUCACUUAAUCCAAUGUUUCACAGAAGACCCGACAAUCAACUUCCCAUGAUUGAUUGAUAUCAUUUUAGUUAUAAACAUUUUGCAAUUGUUAGCAUAUUUGAUUUGUUUCUCUGAUGUUAAAUGUAUACAUACACUAGAAUCUUUCACAAUUCAUUGUUGUUUUCUCUUCUAUUUAUUUAUGUUUUCAAUGCCUCUAACAGUAUAGUACGAUAGAUUGUAGGAGCAGAUUUUCUUUUGAAGCGUAUUGCAUUGACGGGUUGAAAGCUAAUAAUAAUAGCAUUGAUAAGGUUGUAUUACAUCCCAAGACUCUAGUGCAGAUCAAUUAUAAAUAAUCAUCAUAACAGCGAUGAUGACACAUAUGAAGGAGAAUUGGCAGAUAUAGAUGGUUCUAAUAAUAUACGCUAGGAUGAAUAAAUGUUUAAAAAACAACCAAGAUUAGUAUACAACAAAUCACACUGUAAGUAAUUUAUCCUACAAGCCAUACCUUAUGCUUGUUAAAUGGUCUAGUUGCUUAUGCUUAACAUUUGAGGUGCUUUUAUUUUGUACUAAGAAAGUGCUUGGAUUAUUACAUUUUUCAAAAUUACUUCACCUUGUGCUUUUCUACCCUAUCAUAUGAAGUUUCCAAGUAUCCCAACCCUUGUACUUGCUUAUAUAACACGAUUUCUUUUAUAAAACUAGUGUUUUAUGUUUCUUCCUAACUGUUUUUUUUUUCAUUUCACAAGAAUCAGGAUUUGCAUUUGGGUUGAAGAUUUACACGUGAAAUCUUUGAUUUUUUUUUCCCUCUUUGGAUUAAGCACCAACUUCACUUUCAGUUGUAAUAUGGAAUUCCUUUGCGAACAUGUUUGGUGCCUAGAUUUAUCACUCAAACAUACUCAAAAGCUAUUCAUGAAUGCUCAGGUUUACAUUUUUGGAUUAAAUAUUUUCUUCCAUGAAUGAUGCAUCAUGCUCUUUCAUGUAUCUUUUGUUGAAGUUUUAGAUGGCUUGUCAUGCAUCGAAAUUAUAUUUGCAUAAUUUAAAAAUUAAAGUAUUGUUUUAGAGUUCGGUGAGUGUGUGAUUCGAAUUUAUUCAAUAGAUAAAUAUAAAUAAUGUUUGCAUAUUUAAAUCAAAUUUAAGCGAACAACAAUAAAAGAAAUUAUUUGAAUGACUCAUUGAUAUAAUUUUAUAUGAACAUACGCUUGAUAUAAUUUUUUUAUCAAGAAAUCAUGUGGCAUGCUUCGGUGUCACCGAUUAGGCCUUCAAUUGCAUGGUUUUGUUGACAAGUUAGAUUUUGAUAGACAUCUAAAGAUUGUGGCAUCACUUAUUGAUAUGUAUGUAAAGUGUGGAAUAGUGCCUCGCAGGUGUUUGGUAUUUCUGUUGUCAGAAAUGUUGUUCUGUA